RNAcentral lists this long non-coding RNA (396 nucleotides) under Sus scrofa (pig). RNAcentral's name for it is "lncRNA (ENSSSCG00060017912.1)". The record is from RNAcentral. Lineage: Eukaryota; Metazoa; Chordata; Mammalia; Artiodactyla; Suidae.
AUGACAUGUUUUUUUUUCCUCAAAAACAAUGCCUCCGCUCCAAAGAAAAAUCAGUGUCAAAAUAACGAGCUCAAGAUGCCAUCCUUACUUCUUGUAGGCUUCCUUUGUGAAGCUGGUUUCCUGCAGGUGAUGGUUCAGGACAAUAUCGAUACCAGUGAUUACUGUGCUUUCAGUACCUUCGCCCUCCGGCCCUUCAGCGGAGGCAUUUCCACCAAUGAGCGAGUCAUCAAUGUUACCCUCUGUCCUACCGACCAUCUUCCCCUCCACCUCCAGACACAGCCCGUCCGCGAUCUCCCGGAUCUGGUAUACGACGGAAAACAUCUCAUUGUGGCUGAUGAGGUCCCGGUAGAUGAUCAUGAUGGUGGCUGGAGGGAGACGAUGGCGGCGCUAGCUUAG